RNAcentral lists this transfer RNA (72 nucleotides) under Ovis aries (sheep). It matches the Rfam family "tRNA". From Rfam's summary of the family: Transfer RNA (tRNA) molecules are approximately 80 nucleotides in length. Their secondary structure includes four short double-helical elements and three loops (D, anti-codon, and T loops). Further hydrogen bonds mediate the characteristic L-shaped molecular structure. tRNAs have two regions of fundamental functional importance: the anti-codon, which is responsible for specific mRNA codon recognition, and the 3' end, to which the tRNAs corresponding amino acid is attached (by aminoacyl-tRNA synthetases). tRNAs cope with the degeneracy of the genetic code in two manners: having more than one tRNA (with a specific anti-codon) for a particular amino acid; and 'wobble' base-pairing, i.e. permitting non-standard base-pairing at the 3rd anti-codon position. Lineage: Eukaryota; Metazoa; Chordata; Mammalia; Artiodactyla; Bovidae. The record is from Rfam by way of RNAcentral.
UCCCUUGUAGCUUAGUCGGUAAAGAAUCUGCCUGCAGUGCAAGAGACCCAGGUUAGAUCCCUGGGUUGGGAA